This is a long non-coding RNA of Ahaetulla prasina, 1567 nucleotides long. RefSeq lists it as uncharacterized. NCBI's taxonomy places the organism in Eukaryota, Metazoa, Chordata, Lepidosauria, Squamata, Colubridae. The record is from RefSeq and is a predicted model, not a curated record. The transcript has 4 exons.
CAGACUUCAGUUCUAGGUCAGUUUCUGAAUGCGGUGUAUACUACUGCACCACAGAAGGAUGGGGCCAAUCAGAGGGGUGUGUGUGUGUCUCAUCUGCUGCCUCUUUAAGACUUCGGCUACUCCAAUCAACUUCCCAGGCUUCCUCCAGCCGCACAAGACACGUCACUGGCAAGCCGGGAAGCCGAUGGUUAUCGUCCCUUUCAGCCUUGAUAGCGAGUCGGGUACCGACAUGAAACCAUGAAUAACGUCGUGGAACAAGAGCAUCCGAGAAGCUCGCAGCUCGCUGCAAAGCGGCGGUGACUCAGAAGGGGCGGGGCAUACGGUCUGUUUCUCCUUCUUGAGGAGUGACUCAUCAGAGGCCGCGGAAGCCUACUCCAAAGGCAGGCGCAUUAUCUCUGGCUAUUAAUAGCCUCCGAAAAGGCUGAAGAAUGACGUCAGGCAAACGUGUAUCACAACUGGAUGGGAUUAUAAGAAAAUCAGAAAAAAACUUGCAAGUUGGAAAAAGUUAUUCAUUCCACAAUUUUCUGCCCUAUGAUCUAUUCCAGUGCAAGGGAAGCAGAUGUGAUUCAGCUUAGUGUGAUGGAUCAUUUGACAUUCAAGAGCAACGUGCAGUAACUGAAGAAUUUUUCCUUUAUUUUCUCAUUAUCAAGAAAUAUUUUUAGAUAAUGCUCGAUAAAAGGUGUUAUAAGGUUUGAGUGUUUUUCCUUGUUCAUGUUAUUGUAAAUAUGCUUGUGAAGAGGUUGGGCAACCCUUUGAUAUAGUAUCAGCUCCUCCACCUGUGUGGCUUCUUCUACUUUAAAUCUUAGGAAAUUGUAUAACUGCACGUUAUAUGGCUACAAGCAUGAUUACACUUCUGGUUUCUGGGACAUAUAAGGGCUCUGGGUUAAACUGAAAUGAUGCAAGUAUGUCUCUUCUGGUAUAUUUCCUGUGGUGGCUAAGAUAGUCCAAGGAAGUACUUACUAAAGGCUUUAUGCAUUAUCAGUCUACAGUUUUAACAGAACACUUGAAAUUUCGGUCUUUCCAGUUACCAAAUGCCAAUUAUUGUUUGCCAACUGUAUUUCUAAUAGUGUGGCAUUGCCCUCUAGUGGCUUGAAUAGAUAUAUGCACAUUGUUCCUAGUCCCAAAUAAUAGUUUUAUUUUUUUUAAAAAGUAGUACUUAACUUUGUCAAUAAGAUGCAGCAACUCUAUCAUCAUUUUUCCAAUUUCUGUUUUCAUCUACCCAAUGUAACACAUUAGUACCCUACUCAAAUUUGAUAAUCCUCAGCAUUAAAAUCCAUGAAGGGUAUUGUAAAAACAGACAAUUUUUUGUAAUCUAAAUCAUGUUUGUUGAUCCAAGUGAAUGAGCCUAGAGCCGUGAUGGCGAACCUAUGACACGUGUGCCACAGGUGGCACGCAGCACCCUCUGUGGGCAUGCAAGCUAUCGCCCCAGUUCAGCUCCGCCGUGCAUGCGCUCGUGCCUCCCACCGGCCAGCUGGUCAUCAGGUUUCUGCUGUGCAUGUGCAGGGCAGGGCACGUGUGGGGGGCUGUUCACGCAUGCGCAGGGUGUUGUGUGGGGGGAUGCAUGUGC